ACAAAAUAUGAGUGAAUAUCAGGCCCAUCAUCCUCAAUCAGAAAUGAUCUUCAGAAGGAUAUGAAGUAGAUCUUCUUUAGCACUUGCAAAAUGAAUAGAGAAACCAAAAAUAGUGCAGAUAGAAUAAAAAUACAAUGAUUUUAUUAUAAAAAUGCACUUACAAAAAUCCAAGUAAUAGACAGCAUAUAAUCCACUCUACAGUAGAGAUUGCAACAAGAGAGUCCCCAAUGUAGUAAUCCAACGCGUUUCGUCC
Non-coding RNA from Pelobates cultripes (western spadefoot toad), 253 nucleotides. The record is from the annotation of a GenBank genome assembly. NCBI's taxonomy places the organism in Eukaryota, Metazoa, Chordata, Amphibia, Anura, Pelobatidae.